RNAcentral lists this long non-coding RNA (1476 nucleotides) under Ficedula albicollis (Collared flycatcher). RNAcentral's name for it is "lncRNA (ENSFALG00000022008.2)". The record is from RNAcentral. Lineage: Eukaryota; Metazoa; Chordata; Aves; Passeriformes; Muscicapidae.
UUAAAAAAUACAUGCUUUAGGUUGGCAAUCAUUUUAACAGUUAUUUCAUGUGCUUGACUUACAGUAACAUAAAAGCACAUCUGACAUGGAGGCUUUCUUGCAGAAGAAGUUUCAGCCAACUGUAACUUACAGAUUGCUAAUAAUACACGAUGGCUGCAGUAAGGGCUUUGGCACGGUGCAGCUCUGACCCCCCUGCUCUGCCUGCACAGGCACGAGCUGAGCUUCAGCUGUGAAACUCUUCCUGCUCCAUGGGGGAUGCACUCUGGCCUCCUCCUGAAGGGUGCAAUCACCUCCUGAUGGGUCAUCAUCCCUCAUACUUCUACUUUCAGGCUCUUUUAAGAUCUUAAGUCAUACUCCUCUAUGCCCUCUGUCUCUUUGAAUCUAUUGCUGAUUCACAAACCCUCCUUAAUGCUCAGUUCUUCAUUUUGCAGGGGUUUUUUUGGCAUGGUAUGUUAUCUGCAGUACAUCAAGCUAUUUGCUGGCAGAAAAGCACCUUGGAUAUCUGGUUAAUGUCUUUUUUUAAUUAUUAUUAUUUUUUAAAUUUUUUUUUCUUUUUUUUCCUGCAGAAAUUUUAAUUCAUCUUUGUGAAACACUAAAUUGCACGAGCUCUUCCCAGGACAGCUGGGCAUGGAGCAGAACAGGGAGCAAACCCAUCACUCCAAGCAGACUUCUAAGAAAGGACUGAAGGGAUGGAAAAUGUGCAAGGGAAUGCGUGAGGUGCUGGAUGGUGAAUUCCCACCACUGGAGUACAGAGAAGAUCAUGACUGAAUCACACAUGGAGCAAGUUUAUUCUCAGUCAUCAGAAUGGCAGAGUGGGAGAGAAGCAAGUGGCUGAAUUCCAAGAAAGCCAUGGAGGGCAAGAGAAGGUUCAAACGACUUGUUUUUAAGUCAUCCUGGAUCCAGAAGAUGAUGUGGGGUUACCACAGCUACAGCUACACCAGAAAGACAAGGCCACAUGCUGGAAUGGAAUUACUGGCAAGCAUGUCACUAAUUACCUGGGGAGUCACAGGGCCUUCUGCAAAACAGACUGGAGAGACACUCCAAGUCCAAGCAAGUGUCAGUUCUGAACAAAGGAACUUGCAAGAAGCUUUUCCUCUGGACACACACAUAAUCCUUCUGGAUUUUUGGGGAGGGAGGGGAGAAUACACAUCACCUAACAAGUUUCAGGGAAGUUUCAGGGAAGUUUCAGGGAAGUUUCAGGGAAGUUUCAGGGAAGUUUCAGGGAAGUUUCAGGGAAGUUUCAGGGAAGUUUCAGGGAAGUUUCAGGGAAGUUUCAGGGAAGUUUCAGGGAAGUUUCAGGGAAGUUUCAGGGAAGUUUCAGGGAAGUUUCAGGGAAGUUUCAGGGAAGUUUCAGGGAAGUUUCAGGGAAGUUUCAGGGAAGUUUCAGGGAAGGGAAGGGAAGGGAAGGGAAGGGAAGGGAGACAUUUCCCCAACAGUCUAUUAGGAGCCAUUUCCUUGAUUAUGUACAGAUGGUAG